RNAcentral lists this long non-coding RNA (510 nucleotides) under Nicotiana tabacum (common tobacco). Its description in RNAcentral is "long non-coding RNA (NTAB_LNC011780)". Lineage: Eukaryota; Viridiplantae; Streptophyta; Magnoliopsida; Solanales; Solanaceae. The record is from RNAcentral.
ACAAAACCAAAAAAAAAAUAAAAAAAAAAUAAAAGGUGAAUUAUCACUAUUAAUAGUUUUAUUUUUUGUUUUUUUAUAUAAAAAAUCCGAAAAUAUUUUAUUUUAUUUUUAUUUUAUUUUAUUUUUUAUUUUUAUAUAUAAUAAUUUCGGGAAUGAUUUAAAAAAAUAAGAAAAAGGGAAUUAUUGAAUAAAAAAAAUAUAAAAGUAAAAAUAGGUGAAAUUCUCUCUUUUUUUUUAAAAAAGUAAAAGAAUGUAGAAAAUUUAAAAAAAAAUAAAUAAAAAGUUUUGUGGAAAUUUUUAAAAAAUUAAAAAGUAAAAGAAGGUUGGAAUUAAAAAAUAAAUAUAAAGGUAUCUGAAAAUUUAAAAAAUUUAAAGUAAUUGAAAGUAGCAUUUUUGAAAGAAAAAGAAAAGAUAGUGGUUUGUUUUUUUAAAGAAAAGUUAAAUAAAGUGAGAUUCUCUUUUAAAAAAAUAAAAAGUGGGAUUUUAAAUAAGAUAAAGUAAUUAAAGUUG